RNAcentral lists this ribosomal RNA (227 nucleotides) under uncultured bacterium. Its description in RNAcentral is "partial 16S ribosomal RNA". It matches the Rfam family "Bacterial small subunit ribosomal RNA", at positions 109 to 334 of the family's 1533-position model. The record is from RNAcentral.
AGUAACGCGUGAGGAACCUGCCUCAAAGAGGGGGACAACAGUUGGAAACGACUGCUAAUACCGCAUAAGCCCACGGCUCGGCAUCGAGCAGAGGGAAAAGGAGUGAUCCGCUUUGAGAUGGCCUCGCGUCCGACUAGCUAGUUGGUGAGGUAAUGGCCCACCAAGGCGACGAUCGGUAGCCGGACUGAGAGGUUGAACGGCCACAUUGGGACUGAGACACGGCCCAG